AGAGUCACUCCUACGGGAGGCAGCAGUCGGGAAUUUUGGGCAAUGGGCGAAAGCCUGACCCAGCAACGCCGCGUGAAGGAUGAAAUCCCUCGGGAUGUAAACUUCGCAAGAACGGGAAGAAUAAGUGAGGGUUAAUAUCCCUUACGAUGACGGUACUGUUUGUAAGCUCCGGCUAACUCCGUGCCAGCAGCCGCGGUAAUACGGGGGGAGCAAGCGUUGUUCGGAUUUACUGGGCGUAAAGGGCGCGUAGGCGGCCACCGCAAGUCGACUGUGAAAUCUCCGGGCUCAACCCGGAACGGUCAACUGAUACUGCGGGGCUAGAGUGCAGAAGGGGCAACUGGAAUUCUCGGUGUAGCGGUGAAAUGCGUAGAUAUCGGGAGGAACACCAGUGGCGAAGGCGGCGCACUGGACCAUAACUGACGCUGAGGCGCGAAAGCUAGGGGAGCAAACAGGAUUAGAUACCCUGGUAGUCCUAGCCCUAAACGAUGACUGCUUGGUGUGACGGGUACCCAAUCCCGCCGUGCCGUAGCUAACGCGUUAAGCAGUCCGCCUGGGGAGUACGGUCGCAAGGCUGAAACUUAAAGGAAUUGACG
RNAcentral lists this ribosomal RNA (593 nucleotides) under uncultured Acidobacteriota bacterium. RNAcentral's name for it is "bacterial SSU rRNA". It matches the Rfam family "Bacterial small subunit ribosomal RNA", at positions 329 to 915 of the family's 1533-position model. Lineage: Bacteria; Pseudomonadati; Acidobacteriota. The record is from RNAcentral.